UACAGAGGAGCCAAGCGUUGUCCGGAUUGACUGGGCGUAAAGCGCACGCAGGCGGACGCGCGCGUGGGGUGUGAAAUCUGGCCGCUUAACGGCCAGGCGCCAUCCCAUACGGCGCGACUGGAGUGGUGCAGAGGUCGAUGGAAUUGCCGGUGUAGUGGUGAAAUGCGUAGAGAUCGGCAGGAACACCCAGGGGGAAACCAGUCGACUGGGCAUCUACUGACGCUGAGGUGCGAGAGCGUGGGGAGCGAACCGG
Molecule: ribosomal RNA, 253 nt
Filed under: uncultured bacterium
Lineage: Bacteria
Description: partial 16S ribosomal RNA
Rfam family: Bacterial small subunit ribosomal RNA
Source: RNAcentral